This 6487-nucleotide unclassified non-coding RNA is filed under the name Hevea brasiliensis (rubber tree). Lineage: Eukaryota; Viridiplantae; Streptophyta; Magnoliopsida; Malpighiales; Euphorbiaceae. The record is from RNAcentral.
UCCUUGAAGAGGUUUUACCAGAGAUGUCAUCCAGUGUUGAGGACCACCAGAAACCACUGCCGAGGUUCGAAGUUAAGUACAGUGCCCCAUCUGCUAAAAUCAAGAACCAGGUAAUUUCCCACGAUGGGAAAAUCCAACAGUGUGUAGAAUAUCAAGGUAGAUUGCAGUGGGUAUGAGUAUCUUGACAAUUGACAUCAAAAUUAAGUUUUGUGGGUUGGGUUGGGUUUCACUAUUAAUCCUGUAGCACUAAUACAUUGUUAGCUCAUACAAAGCUAAUUCCUUUUUAUCAGAUUUGUGGUUCGUAAAUUAUGGCAUGAAUUGUGGAAACCCUGCUCCCACAUUGUAUUAGUAUGUGUAUUACAAAGGCUUUUUACAAUAUCGGUUUUACUGGAAGGUUUUGAUUUAUACUGUUUAAUCCGAAUAUCAGUUGCAGUUAGAAUUUACAGAUUCUGGGAACAAUGUAUUGGUUAUCAAUUAGAAUUUACAAAACCAAAAUGUUAAUUAGUCUCUGUAAAGUGUAUACUGAAAAAUACAAAGUUCAGUGAGAAGUACUAAGAACCAAGCUCCCCCGUGUUACUACUAUCAUCUUUCGUAUAGUUUUCCUGGUCGAUCUGCAUAUUUUCUCAUUUCCUGCUGUGACAUAUUGUUUAUUUGUACAUCUUGUAUUCAAGUGAUUAUGAAUAUGGGAGACUAUUGAGUGCUAUAUGGAAAACCACUCAAAUACUUGCCCUAUGAAACAAAUACUCCACAAUUGAAUUGCUAAUUCGAUGCCUGGAGCAUACUGUUGUUUUCAACCUCACUCGCUCAGGAAACAGUGAUGAUGUGUUCGCUUGGCACUUGAUUUCUCAGCAGCGUGUCUGGCUUUAGCCUGAUGCAACUCCAACUUGGCUUGAGCUUCUUUAGCCUUUCUGCGCUCCUUGGCCAUCUCUUUCUCUUCCUGUGUCCUCGCGGCUGCUUUCUCUACCUGCAAGUUUUGCAGCAAUUUCAUUCAAUUCAUUCUUGACACCAGUAAAGAAAAUAAAAAAGAAUGAAGAUAAAGAGAAGGAAUUAAAAUAUGAGUUGCCUUUUUCUUCAACUUUAGCUUUGCAGAUGCCAUGUGCUCUCUAGCAGCACUGGCCAUAUUGCUGAUUUUUGCAUUUGCUGUUUGCAUGCUUCAGUGACAAUAUCUUUGGAUGCAAUAUGAAUUGCUUUGUAAUUGCCAGGAGAAGGUGGCUGCGUGUGUGUAUAUAUACACCGAUAAAUGCAACCAAAAAGAAGUUGCAGAAGCAGCCGCGGUUGAUUUCCACGUGCCAUGCAUGCAGCUGCUAUACCUGUUUUAUGCUGACAAGUAACCAUUUCUUAUUUCCAAUUCUAAAAUUACUGUUUUAAUUAUUUCUAAAAUUAAUUUUUAUAAUAUAUGAAAAUAUUAUAUUUUGUAAUUAAUUUUUAGUUAUUUUUAAAACUCAACUUAAAUGAGAAAAAGUUUUUAUAAUUAAUUUUUAUUGUUCAACAGUCUUGGUUAAAAAAUUAUUCUUCUUCCUUAAUUUUGAGCUUACAUAUUUAUUUUCUGCUAAUUUUUUUACAAUAUUAAUAUUUCAAUUUUUUUCACAAGUUAACUUUUCUUUUCAUUUUCAAAUUUAAUUACAAUGUCCUUUUUUAUUAUUGAAAAUUUUAAAAUUAUUUUUAGAAAAUUAGACACUUUAUUUAUAAUCAUUUAUAUUAAAUUCAAUGUUUUCAAACUCGGACAGGUCAUUGAAUCUAGGGGAGAGCAUUAGGUCAGUUUGGUUUCGAACUAAACCGAUCACUAAAAACUGAAAAACCGAAUCACUUAAAAAAGUAAACCGAACCGAACCAAUCACCUAAGGAUAACCGAAUAGAACCAAACUGAAAAAUAACGGUUCGGUUCGAUUUCAUUGCAUUAAACUGAAAAUAUUAGAAUUUUACAAAAGAACCUAUUUACAUUUAAUAAACAAUAAUUUAUUAAUAGCAAUCCUAAACCUAUUUACACAAAAAAACCUAUUUAUAAAUAUCAAUAAUAUAUAAAAAUCCAUUCAAAAGUACAUAACAUAUAAAUCCAUAAGUCCAUAAAAUUGUCAAUCCAUUCUAAAUAAAAUGUACCAUGAAAUUAUAAUCCAAAAUACAUAAAAGUCCAUAAAAACAGCAAACAUCACUUUAUAAAGUGAUAAAAGUCCACACACAUAACACAUUUGACAUUUCUAUAUUUAAGAUUCACACAUUAAAACACCACACAUUACAUAGAGGUCAAGAGCAGGCCAUAAUAGAUUAAAAUGCAAUGCAAAAUAAAAGUUUAUAAUGGAUUAAAAUCCAUGCAAAACACAAAAUCAUAAGAGGUCAAGAGCAGUCUAACAAUUCCAUGCCUAUUUGAAACCUGCACAAAGUAGAUAAAAAUGACCUAGUCAUCAUCUAAGAAAAAAUUUAAAAAGCACAAACUAAAACUAGCAUAAAGUAAUACUAAAUAUUCAACAAUUAAACUUACAUUUAAUAGUUAGGAGUAGGGGUAGAACUUGAUCCUCCUAAACCAUGUGUAAUUCCAAUAAGUGGCAACACUGAAAAUUGAAGUGUUUUAGCCAACAAGGAAACUCUAUAUCCAAAAGAAAAUAUGAAACAAUAAAAUUGAAAUAUUUAAUAAAUUAAUUUCAUACCCUCUUCAAGCUUUUCAAGUUCUUCUAAAUCUUCCUCAACACUUAUUGGUCUAUUUAAUGAAUGAAGCUAAUCUUAUGCACAUAUCAAGCCCUCCACAAUUUUCGGAAUCAAAGAACUCCUAAAAGCAUCAAGCACUCUCCCACCAGUACUGAGAGCACGCUCUGAAGCAACUGUUGAAACUAGAACAUCCAAUAUUUCUCUUGCCAUUUUUCCUAGGAUAGGAAAUCUCUCAUAAUUAAUCUUCCACCAUUUAAGGAUAUCAAAAUCUUCUUUGUCCUCUUGGAUAGCCUCACUUAGAUACACUUCUAACUCUGUUUUUGAAUCUGCACCACCAAGAACCUCCAACUUUUGCUUCUUAUAGUGAUAUUUCAAAAAAAAAAUUAGCUUAAGACUUAUAGAAGAGCCUGUACCACCAAUUGAGAUCUAUGAACUAUUAUCACUUGAGUGUUUAACAUCAGAUUGGUACAUUCUCUUGUACUCAUUAAACAAUUCAUUCAUUAAUGUUUUCACCUUCUGGAACAACUCUACACCAUUUUCCUUACCGUACAUUUGGCAAAAUAAAUACUCCAUAUACUCAAGUUUAUCAUGAGGGUCAAGAAUAAUGGCAAAAUAAAUAAGUUUAUUCAUUUUAUCUACACCUCUCCAGUACUUGUCAAAUUUGACCCUCAUUCUUUCCCCCAUAGAUUUCAUCUCAAUAUCAUUACUACCCAUCCAUUAGUUUAAUAUAAAAGUUAGGUCACUCAUCUCACUAAAGAACAUGUUGGAUGUGACAUAACGGGAACUCGAAAUACGUAAAGUUAACUCAUAAAAAUGAGACAACAUAUCAGCUAUUUCCUUAACUUGAGACCAAUCAUAAAAAUUAGGCAUCCCAUUCUCUCUAAUGUUAAGCUUGAACAUAGGUUCUUGUGACUCAUACCUCUCAAAUGCCCUUCCAUAUUUUUGUGUUGUAUUCAACAUUAAGUAAGUUGAAUUCCACCUAGUAGGCACAUCUAAAUACAAAAAAGCCUUGCCUUCAAUUUUUUCAUAUUCAACACACUGCUUAAACUUUUUCAACCUAGGUGGAGAACUCCUAAUGUAUCUUACUGCAUCCCUAACCUUCAUCACCGACUCACGAACAACUUUUAAUCCAUCCAUGACAACCAAAUUAAUGAUAUGUGCCAUACACCUCAUAUUAAGGUAAGUAGAAUUAGCAACACUAACACCCCAAUUGGCAAGCUUCUUUUUUAAAUAAGAGAUUGCUUCAUCAUUUGAACUUGCAUUGUCUACUGUAAUAGUGAAUAUCUUAUCUAAACCCCAUUCUAGCAAGCAAGUUUCAAUUGACCUAACAAUGGCAUCACCUUUAUGACUAAAAAUAAGACAAAAAUUAAUAAUUCUCUUAUGCAACUUCCAAUCCUUGUCAAUAAAGUGAGCAGUGACACACAUAUAAUUUAUUCUCUAUAAUGGUGUCCAUGUAUCUAUAGUAAGACUCACUCUUUGACAAUUUCUCUUGAAAAAGACUUCAAUCUUGUCCUCUCCUCAAUAAACAUUUGAUAACAAUCCCAUGAAAUAGUCCAACAGGAGGGAAUCCUAAACCUAGGACAUAUGGUCUCAUGAAUCUUCUAAAUCCCUCAUCAUCAAUAAAUCUAAAAGAAAAUUCAUCAAUUAUAAUCAUUUGAACAAGAGCUUCCCUAAUUGCAUCUUCAUCAUAUUUCCAAGUAGAAAGUGUGCUUACAUCCCCUAAAAUUUCAUCAAAUGAAUUUGGUUGCAAAGCUAAUUGUGUUUGCUUAGUCUCAAUGGCAUGUGGAUGCUUUUUGCAUGCAUUCAUGUGAUUCCUAAGUGCAGUUGUUCCAUUUUUUUUUUAUCACAACAAAAUUCUUUGCUACAAUAAUUACACUUGCCUUUAAUUUCGCCCUUAGUAGUUGUGAACUUGGUGAAGUGAUCCUAAACUAGAGACCUUGGUCUAAUUGGCUUUCGCUUCACAACUUCUUUUUUAUUUUGAUUUUGAAUUAGAUGUAUCUGCAGCCUCAGCUUCACUUUGAUUAGAAUCAGUAGUACUUUUAGUUUUUGGAUCUUCUUGCCCACUAAAAGAAUCCAUUUGGAGUAAAUGGUGGCGAGAUAGGUAAUUUUGGAAGGCAAGUGAAGGUGAUUCGGUGAGGCCAAAUAUCUUUAAUCCACACUCCAUAAACUUUUCAAAACAAUACCCACUUCAGCAACAGGGUGGCGCUAGCAUCGAAUGGACUUCUAAGGGACAACAGCAACUCAUGACGAAGGCAACUGAUAAGGACGGCAACACAAGGCAAAGACUAGGGAGGAAUAAGAAAAGAGAAGAGAGGAGAGAACUGAAAAGGGAGGCGAGGCACAGUGGCGGUUGCAGACUCGCAGUUGACAGCACAAAGAAACAGAUGAGAGAAUUUUAGCUUUUAGGGAUUUUACAAUUUAGGGUUCUUUAUUGAAGACUAAAUGUUUUAGGUAAUUUCUAUUCUCUAGACUUGAACGGAAAAUUAGACUGGAUAAGGGCCAAAACCUUGGGACUUAUGCAUCCUAGGCUAAAAAAUCACUUGUGCCAUUUGCUAUGCCGUUUAGUUGGUUUUGUCGGUUUUAACCGAUAAAAAACUGAACUGAACUGAAAAUCGAACAUGCUAAAAAUCUCUAACCCACCGCACCGACAAAACAAAAAACUGAACUAAUUGAACCGAAAUGGCUUUGUUCGGUUCGAUUUUUCAGUUCAAACUGAAAACUGCUCAGGCCUACUUGAUUGGAUUUGUUUAUUUCUUUUCAAUCUCUGCAUGGUCUGGGGGCAUCCCUUUCUCAUCAUUUCUAUCUCUCUCUAUCUUCGUUUUCAAAUUGCGAUAGAAUCAUCUUGCUUUCUUUGGUUAUAUUUUGGCAUGUAGCCAUUGUUGCUUGGCCUUACCUACACCAUGUGUGCACACACACACCACACAUGAGUGCAAAGGCACUGGUAAUGGUUCUAGUCUUGAUAAAGGUGAUCUGCUCUCUUGCUAGGAAAGUGAUCUGACUUUAGGUGGAGUAUGUUUAGAGAAACAUGGUAUGAUGGAUGGUCAGAGGGAAAGAAUAAAAUUUCAUAUGAAGUUAGUGAUAAAGAUAUAAGCAAGGCAGCAAGGCAGCUAUAACUUAUGCAGGGGAGCAACCCGAAGAUGUGAGACUUAGCAAAAACGGUGUGCAACAUUUUUAAGUAAAACACGUGCAGCAUGGAUGAAUAAAAUGGUGUGUUGCAAUAACACAAACAAAGAAAAGCUACGACUCAAAGAAUGCAUCGAGGGCAACAUAAAGCAGAAUUGGUUAGGCUGCCGUAGUUUGUUACUGUUUGUUGGGUUUGGCAGGAAAGCUUCUCUCCGGCUGUGCAAAUUAGUUAGAUAGUUUCUAGAAUCUCCAUUCGACUUGUAUAUAAGAACAUUAUGUGUAGCAUGUUAAAUAUAUAUACAAUGAGACAUGAAUACAUUUCUUUUCUCCCAAAUUAAGUUCUUCAGUAUUUUUCAGGUUCAAGACUUGAUCAGUUAGAUCAGGACAGAGCUGGUUACGGCCAUUGGAAUCCUUCAGAAAAUUUUUAGAAUAAUUAAGAUUUGCCAUAGGAUCUUUAUAUUAUUAAUGACAUAAUAAUUGGUGUUGCACUUUAAUUUUGUUGUCUAAUUUUAUUGAUGCCUGGAAGUUAGUAAUUGCAUAGCUAUACUUUGUUUAAACUGAAUGUUUGAGACAUUCGAUUCUGACUUACAUAAUCAACAUGCUGAGCAUUCAUGUGUGUAGCUAGCAUCUACUGACCCAAUUCUCUAUAAUUGAUCUAAAGCUUUCACCAUUGCUAACCUGUGUCUGACUUCACACUCUAGGGAUAUAUGUUGGCGAUGGAAUG